Molecule: transfer RNA, 67 nt
Filed under: Elateroidea sp. BMNH 1274729
Lineage: Eukaryota; Metazoa; Arthropoda; Insecta; Coleoptera
Description: tRNA-Ser
Source: RNAcentral
GAAAUAGGACUAUCUAAGAGAAGCUUCUAACUUCAUAUUAAAGCAGUGAAAAUCUGUUUAUGUUUCA